Molecule: ribosomal RNA, 419 nt
Filed under: Drosophila meridionalis
Lineage: Eukaryota; Metazoa; Arthropoda; Insecta; Diptera; Drosophilidae
Description: partial 12S ribosomal RNA
Source: RNAcentral
UCAUUCUAGAUACACUUUCCAGUACAUCUACUAUGUUACGACUUAUCUUACCUUAAUAAUAAGAGCGACGGGCGAUGUGUACAUAUUUUAGAGCUAUAAUCAAACUAUUAAUCUUUAUAAUUUUACAAUCAAAUCCACCUUCAAAAACUUUUUCAUAGUUUUAUUCGUUUAAAUAUAUUUAUUGUAACCCAUUAUUACUUAAAUAUAAGCUACACCUUGAUCUGAUAUAAAUUUUAAUAAAAAUUAUUGAAUAUUAUUAUUCUUAUAAAAUAUUCUGAUAACGACGGUAUAUAAACUGAUUACAAAUUUAAGUAAGGUCCAUCGUGGAUUAUCGAUUACAAAACAGGUUCCUCUGAAUAGACUAAAAUACCGCCAAAUUUUUUAAGUUUCAAGAACAUAACUGUUACUACUUAAGUAUU